AACGAACGCUGGCGGCAGGCUUAACACAUGCAAGUCGAGCGCCCCGCAAGGGGAGCGGCAGACGGGUGAGUAACGCGUGGGAAUCUACCCAUCCCUACGGAACAACUCCGGGAAACUGGAGCUAAUACCGUAUACGCCCUUUGGGGGAAAGAUUUAUCGGGGAUGGAUGAGCCCGCGUUGGAUUAGCUAGUUGGUGGGGUAAAGGCCUACCAAGGCGACGAUCCAUAGCUGGUCUGAGAGGAUGAUCAGCCACAUUGGGACUGAGACACGGCCCAAACUCCUACGGGAGGCAGCAGUGGGGAAUAUUGGACAAUGGGCGCAAGCCUGAUCCAGCCAUGCCGCGUGAGUGAUGAAGGCCUUAGGGUUGUAAAGCUCUUUCACCGGAGAAGAUAAUGACGGUAUCCGGAGAAGAAGCCCCGGCUAACUUCGUGCCAGCAGCCGCAGUAA
This 447-nucleotide ribosomal RNA is filed under the name uncultured bacterium. Its description in RNAcentral is "partial 16S ribosomal RNA". It matches the Rfam family "Bacterial small subunit ribosomal RNA", at positions 29 to 523 of the family's 1533-position model. The record is from RNAcentral.